This 470-nucleotide ribosomal RNA is filed under the name uncultured bacterium. RNAcentral describes it as "bacterial SSU rRNA". It matches the Rfam family "Bacterial small subunit ribosomal RNA", at positions 28 to 524 of the family's 1533-position model. The record is from RNAcentral.
GUUGAACGCUGGCGGUGCGUUUAAUACAUGCAAGUCGAACGAGAUCUUUGAAAAGUUUACUUUUUGAAGUGAAAGUGGCGGACGAGCGAGUAACACGUAAGUAGCUGCCCUGUACUCGGGGAUAACUAGUCGAAAGAUUAGCUAAUACCGGAUAGUCUCGAAAGAGUAAAGAUUUAUCGGUACAGGAGGCGCUUGCGGCCUAUCAGUUUGUUGGUGAGGUAAUGGCUUACCAAGACUAUGACGGGUACCUGGUGUGAGAGCAUGACCAGGCGCGAUGGGACUGAGACACGGCCCAUACUCCUACGGGAGGCAGCAGUAGAGAAUCUUCCGCAAUGGGGGCAACCCUGACGGAGCGACACCGCGUGGUGGAUGACGCUUUUCGGAGUGUAAACACCUUUUAUGAGGGAAGAAAAUCUGACGGUACCUCAUGAAUAAGGACCGGCUAAUUACGUGCCAGCAGCCGCGGUAAU